RNAcentral lists this ribosomal RNA (465 nucleotides) under Vreelandella stevensii. Its description in RNAcentral is "partial 16S ribosomal RNA". It matches the Rfam family "Bacterial small subunit ribosomal RNA", at positions 338 to 795 of the family's 1533-position model. The record is from RNAcentral. Lineage: Bacteria; Pseudomonadati; Pseudomonadota; Gammaproteobacteria; Oceanospirillales; Halomonadaceae.
CCUACGGGAGGCAGCAGUGGGGAAUAUUGGACAAUGGGCGAAAGCCUGAUCCAGCCAUGCCGCGUGUGUGAAGAAGGCCUUCGGGUUGUAAAGCACUUUCAGUGGGGAAGAAAGCCUUGGGGCUAAUACCCUCGAGGAAGGACAUCACCCACAGAAGAAGCACCGGCUAACUCCGUGCCAGCAGCCGCGGUAAUACGGAGGGUGCGAGCGUUAAUCGGAAUUACUGGGCGUAAAGCGCGCGUAGGCGGUCUGGUAAGCCGGUUGUGAAAGCCCCGGGCUCAACCUGGGAACGGCAUCCGGAACUGUCAGGCUAGAGUGCAGGAGAGGAAGGUAGAAUUCCCGGUGUAGCGGUGAAAUGCGUAGAGAUCGGGAGGAAUACCAGUGGCGAAGGCGGCCUUCUGGACUGACACUGACGCUGAGGUGCGAAAGCGUGGGUAGCAAACAGGAUUAGAUACCCCAGUAGUC